Molecule: ribosomal RNA, 427 nt
Filed under: uncultured bacterium
Lineage: Bacteria
Description: partial 16S ribosomal RNA
Rfam family: Bacterial small subunit ribosomal RNA
Source: RNAcentral
UGGGGAAUAUUGCACAAUGGGCGCAAGCCUGAUGCAGCCAUGCCGCGUGUGUGAAGAAGGCCUUCGGGUUGUAAAGCACUUUCAGCGAGGAGGAAGGGUAGUGUGUUAAUAGCACAUUGCAUUGACGUUACUCGCAGAAGUAGCACCGGCUAACUCCGUGCCAGCAGCCGCGGUAAUACGGAGGGUGCAAGCGUUAAUCGGAAUUACUGGGCGUAAAGCGCACGCAGGCGGUUUGUUAAGUCAGAUGUGAAAUCCCCGCGCUUAACGUGGGAACUGCAUUUGAAACUGGCAAGCUAGAGUCUUGUAGAGGGGGGUAGAAUUCCAGGUGUAGCGGUGAAAUGCGUAGAGAUCUGGAGGAAUACCGGUGGCGAAGGCGGCCCCCUGGACAAAGACUGACGCUCAGGUGCGAAAGCGUGGGGAGCAAACA